Molecule: ribosomal RNA, 467 nt
Filed under: uncultured bacterium
Lineage: Bacteria
Description: partial 16S ribosomal RNA
Rfam family: Bacterial small subunit ribosomal RNA
Source: RNAcentral
GACGAACGCUGGCGGCGUGCUUAACACAUGCAAGUCGAACGGAAAGGCCCCAGCUUGCUGGAGUACUCGAGUGGCGAACGGGUGAGUAACACGUGGGUUAUCUGUCCUGCACUCUGGGAUAAGCCUGGGAAACUUGGUCUAAUACUGGAUAUGAUCUUUCGCCUUUUGGUGUGUGGUGGAAAGUUUUUCGGUGUAGUAUGAGCCCGCGGCCUAUCAGCUUGUUGGUGGGGUGAUGGCCUACCAAAGCGACGACGGGUAGCCGGCCUGAGAGGGUGAUCGGCCACGUUGGGCCUGGGAUACGGCCCAGACCCCAACGGGAGGCAGCAGUGGAGAAUAUAGUACAAUGGGCGGAAGCAUAAUGCAGCGACGCCGCGUGAGGGAUGACGGCAUUCGGGUUGUAAACCAAUUUCCGCUGGGACGAAGCGUAAGUGACGGUACCUGCAGAAGAAGCACCGGCUAACUAUGUG